Molecule: long non-coding RNA, 277 nt
Filed under: Hordeum vulgare
Lineage: Eukaryota; Viridiplantae; Streptophyta; Magnoliopsida; Poales; Poaceae
Description: long non-coding RNA (HVUL_LNC000953)
Source: RNAcentral
GUCGGCGUUGUUUCACUCGUGAACUCACCGUUCACCCACUGAGCCACUUUGGUGACCCCUUCUCCUAUAAAAGGAGGCCCGAGGCUCAGUAGUAAGGACUUUUGGCUUUUUGACCAAUCGAAUGGUUGUAAAGAGGGACAAAUCUACAGUAACCCAAAGUGAAUAACUAAAGGCAUGCAGGAGUAGGGUUUUUCGCACCACGCAGCACGAACGUGGGUAAAAAUUACUUGCCGGGCCCUGACUAUUGGUUCCACUCUUGCCGCAACCCCUCUCCCCG